This 254-nucleotide ribosomal RNA is filed under the name uncultured bacterium. Its description in RNAcentral is "partial 16S ribosomal RNA". It matches the Rfam family "Bacterial small subunit ribosomal RNA", at positions 524 to 776 of the family's 1533-position model. The record is from RNAcentral.
UACGGGGGAAGCAAGCGUUGUUCGGAUUUACUGGGCGUAAAGGGCGCGUAGGCGGCCACCGCAAGUCGACUGUGAAAUCUCCGGGCUUAACCCGGAAAGGUCAGCCGAUACUGCGGGGCUAGAGUGCAGAAGGGGCAACUGGAAUUCUCGGUGUAGCGGUGAAAUGCGUAGAUAUCGAGAGGAACACCUGCGGCGAAGGCGGGUUGCUGGGCUGACACUGACGCUGAUGUGCGAAAGCUAGGGGAGCGAACGGG